UGAGGAAUAUUGGACAAUGGAUGGAAAUCUGAUCCAGCCAUGCCGCGUGCAGGAUGACGGCCCUAUGGGUCUUAAACUGCUUUUGUAUGGGAGCAAUAAGUCUUACGUGUAGGAUGAUGAGAGUACCAUACGAAUAAGCAUCGGCUAACUCCGUGCCAGCAGCCGCGGUAAUACGGAGGAUGCAAGCGUUAUCCGGAUUUAUUGGGUUUAAAGGGUGCGUAGGCGGUCUUGUAAGUCAGUGGUGAAAUCUCCGGGCUCAACCCGGAACGUGCCAUUGAUACUGCAGGACUGGAAUGUGGAUGCCGUUUGCGGAAUGUGUGGUGUAGCGGUGAAAUGCAUAGAUAUCACACAGAACACCGAUUGCGAAGGCAGCAGACGAAUCCAUGAUUGACGCUGAGGCACGAAAGUGUGGGGAUCAAACAGG
This 424-nucleotide ribosomal RNA is filed under the name uncultured prokaryote. RNAcentral's name for it is "bacterial SSU rRNA". It matches the Rfam family "Bacterial small subunit ribosomal RNA", at positions 355 to 776 of the family's 1533-position model. RNAcentral also lists the same sequence under 1 other name. The record is from RNAcentral.